RNAcentral lists this ribosomal RNA (376 nucleotides) under uncultured Streptococcus sp. RNAcentral describes it as "bacterial SSU rRNA". It matches the Rfam family "Bacterial small subunit ribosomal RNA", at positions 1004 to 1382 of the family's 1533-position model. The record is from RNAcentral. Lineage: Bacteria; Bacillati; Bacillota; Bacilli; Lactobacillales; Streptococcaceae.
AGAUAGAAAGUUACUUCGGUACGAUCGGUGACAGGUGGUGCAUGGUUGUCGUCAGCUCGUGUCGUGAGAUGUUGGUUAAGUCCCGCAACGAGCGCAACCCCUAUUGUUAGUUGCCAUCAUUCAGUUGGGCACUCUAGCGAGACUGCCGGUAAUAAACCGGAGGAAGGUGGGGAUGACGUCAAAUCAUCAUGCCCCUUAUGACCUGGGCUACACACGUGCUACAAUGGUUGGUACAACGAGUUGCGAGUCGGUGACGGCGAGCUAAUCUCUUAAAGCCAAUCUCAGUUCGGAUUGUAGGCUGCAACUCGCCUACAUGAAGUCGGAAUCGCUAGUAAUCGCGGAUCAGCACGCCGCGGUGAAUACGUUCCCGGGCCUU